GUCCAGCCGCCGCGGUCAUACCGGCAGCCCGAGUGAUGGCCGAUCUUAUUGGGCCUAAAGCGUCCGUAGCUGGCCGCGCAAGUCCAUCGGGAAGUCCACCUGCUCAACAGGUGGGCGCCCGGUGGAAACUGUGCGGCUUGGGACCGGAAGGCGCGACGGGUACGUCCGGGGUAGGAGUGAAAUCCCGUAAUCCUGGACGGACCACCGGUGGCGAAAGCGCCUCGAGAAGACGGACCCGACGGUGAGGAACGAAAGCCAGGGUCUCGAACCGGAUUAGAUACCCGGGUAGUCC
This 292-nucleotide ribosomal RNA is filed under the name uncultured bacterium. RNAcentral's name for it is "partial 16S ribosomal RNA". It matches the Rfam family "Archaeal small subunit ribosomal RNA", at positions 456 to 747 of the family's 1478-position model. The record is from RNAcentral.